GAUGAACGCUGGCGGCGUGCCUAAUACAUGCAAGUCGAGCGAACAGAUGAGGAGCUUGCUCCUCUGACGUUAGCGGCGGACGGGUGAGUAACACGUGGAUAACCUACCUAUAAGACUGGGAUAACUUCGGGAAACCGGAGCUAAUACCGGAUAAUAUAUUGAACCGCAUGGUUCAAUAGUGAAAGACGGUUUUGCUGUCACUUAUAGAUGGAUCCGCGCCGCAUUAGCUAGUUGGUAAGGUAACGGCUUACCAAGGCAACGAUGCGUAGCCGACCUGAGAGGGUGAUCGGCCACACUGGAACUGAGACACGGUCCAGACUCCUACGGGAGGCAGCAGUAGGGAAUCUUCCGCAAUGGGCGAAAGCCUGACGGAGCAACGCCGCGUGAGUGAUGAAGGUCUUCGGAUCGUAAAACUCUGUCAUUAGGGGAGAACAAAUGUGUAAGUAACUAUGCACGUCUUGACGGUACCUAAUCAGAAAGCCACGGCUAACUACGUG
Molecule: ribosomal RNA, 497 nt
Filed under: uncultured bacterium
Lineage: Bacteria
Description: partial 16S ribosomal RNA
Rfam family: Bacterial small subunit ribosomal RNA
Source: RNAcentral